Molecule: non-coding RNA, 29 nt
Filed under: Rattus norvegicus (Norway rat)
Lineage: Eukaryota; Metazoa; Chordata; Mammalia; Rodentia; Muridae
Source: RNAcentral
UGGAUAACAGAAGUCAUGGUUAUUUUGGU